GACGAACGCUGGCGGCGUGCUUAACACAUGCAAGUCGAACGGAAAGGCCCUGCUUUUGUGGGGUGCUCGAGUGGUGAACGGGUGAGUAACACGUGAGUAACCUGCCCUUGACUUUGGGAUAACUUCAGGAAACUGGGGCUAAUACCGGAUAGGAGCUCCUGCUGCAUGGUGGGGGUUGGAAAGUUUCGGCGGUUGGGGAUGGACUCGCGGCUUAUCAGCUUGAUGGUGGGGUAGUGGCUUACCAAGGCUUUGACGGGUAGCCGGCCUGAGAGGGUGACCGGCCACAUUGGGACUGAGAUACGGCCCAGACUCCUACGGGAGGCAGCAGUGGGGAAUAUUGCACAAUGGGCGGAAGCCUGAUGCAGCAACGCCGCGUGCGGGAUGACGGCCUUCGGGUUGUAAACCGCUUUCGCCUGUGACGAAGCGUGAGUGACGGUAAUGGGUAAAGAAGCACCGGCUAACUACGUG
Molecule: ribosomal RNA, 468 nt
Filed under: uncultured bacterium
Lineage: Bacteria
Description: partial 16S ribosomal RNA
Rfam family: Bacterial small subunit ribosomal RNA
Source: RNAcentral